AAGGCCUCAAUUUUCUUUUAGAUCUUCGCUUGCACUUGUUCGAAGGUGUUUAGUGUUGUUUAAUUGAAGCCGAAAUGUGUGUUCCCCUCGCUAUCCGUUGUUGCAAUUUGAUGCUGCAAUUGGACGUCGGGGAACAAAAUCC
RNAcentral lists this small nucleolar RNA (142 nucleotides) under Phaseolus vulgaris (common bean). RNAcentral's name for it is "snoRNA snoR136". It matches the Rfam family "Small nucleolar RNA snoR136". The record is from Rfam by way of RNAcentral. Lineage: Eukaryota; Viridiplantae; Streptophyta; Magnoliopsida; Fabales; Fabaceae.